RNAcentral lists this transfer RNA (73 nucleotides) under Pteropus alecto (black flying fox). It matches the Rfam family "tRNA". From Rfam's summary of the family: Transfer RNA (tRNA) molecules are approximately 80 nucleotides in length. Their secondary structure includes four short double-helical elements and three loops (D, anti-codon, and T loops). The record is from Rfam by way of RNAcentral. Lineage: Eukaryota; Metazoa; Chordata; Mammalia; Chiroptera; Pteropodidae.
GGUUCCAUGGUGUAGCAGUUAGCAUGUCUGCUUUACACACAGAAGGUCCUGGGUUCACACCCCAGUGGAGCCA